This 70-nucleotide transfer RNA is filed under the name Dopasia harti (Hart's glass lizard). Its description in RNAcentral is "tRNA-Phe". Lineage: Eukaryota; Metazoa; Chordata; Lepidosauria; Squamata; Anguidae. The record is from RNAcentral.
GUAAUUGUAGCUUAUAUUUUAAAGCACGGCACUGAAGCUGCCGCGAUGGGAACCAGAUUCUCCAAAAACA